UACAGAGGUGGCAAGCGUUGUUCGGAAUUACUGGGCGUAAAGGGCGCGUAGGCGGUCUUGUAAGUCCCGUGUGAAAUCCCUCGGCUCAACUGGGGAACUGCACGGGAAACUGCUUGGCUUGAGUUCGGGAGAGGGAAGCGGAAUUCCGGGUGUAGCGGUGAAAUGCGUAGAUAUCCGGAGGAACACCGGUGGCGAAGGCGGCUUCCUGGACCGACACUGACGCUGAGGCGCGAAAGCUAGGGGAGCAAACGGG
RNAcentral lists this ribosomal RNA (253 nucleotides) under uncultured bacterium. Its description in RNAcentral is "partial 16S ribosomal RNA". It matches the Rfam family "Bacterial small subunit ribosomal RNA", at positions 524 to 776 of the family's 1533-position model. The record is from RNAcentral.